Molecule: ribosomal RNA, 497 nt
Filed under: uncultured bacterium
Lineage: Bacteria
Description: partial 16S ribosomal RNA
Rfam family: Bacterial small subunit ribosomal RNA
Source: RNAcentral
GAUGAACGCUGGCGGCGUGCCUAAUACAUGCAAGUCGAGCGAACGGACGAGAAGCUUGCUUCUCUGAUGUUAGCGGCGGACGGGUGAGUAACACGUGGAUAACCUACCUAUAAGACUGGGAUAACUUCGGGAAACCGGAGCUAAUACCGGAUGAUAUUUUGAACCGCAUGGUUCAAAAGUGAAAGACGGUCUUGCUGUCACUUAUAGAUGGAUCCGCGCUGCAUUAGCUAGUUGGUAAGGUAACGGCUUACCAAGGCAACGAUGCAUAGCCGACCUGAGAGGGUGAUCGGCCACACUGGAACUGAGACACGGUCCAGACUCCUACGGGAGGCAGCAGUAGGGAAUCUUCCGCAAUGGGCGAAAGCCUGACGGAGCAACGCCGCGUGAGUGAUGAAGGUCUUCGGAUCGUAAACCUCUGUUAUUAGGGAAGAACAUAUGUGUAAGUAACUGUGCACAUCUUGACGGUACCUAAUCGGAAAGCCACGGCUAACUACGUG